CGAUAGCCUGAGAGACAGUGGGUUUGCUCUCACACAGUGGAGCAAUGCCUCGAAAGCCAUGGACGCUUUCGGUGUUGGGGAUCUACUUAGACAACACCACACCCAACUUCGCAGGUUGACGGUCACUUCCAAUGUCACUGGAGAAACUGUAACAGACUUACCCUUCACCAGGUCUGGAGAAAGUAAUGACGUUGAAGUGGGGUGUGUAAGCUGACAGAUGCUGGUGGAGACUCUAUGGAAGCAGCUGCCGGAUGGGACCAUCAGGUUUGGAUCCAAGGUGGUAUCCAUAGAACAAGAUGGGAAGUCAUGUCCGAUCCAUGUGGCUGAUGGAGCACUUAUUGGAGCUAAGGUGCUGAUAGGUUGUGAUGGUGUGAACUCUGCUGUUGCCAAGCGGCUGGGGCAUCCCGGGCUUGUCUUCACAUGAAGCUCAUCCAUAAUAGGUCUCACACUGUCGCACAUUAGCCUGAAGGCCAUGGGCUUGAACCGCGGUUUGCUCAGUUCUUGGCAAUGGCUCUCGUUUUGGGAUCUUGCCUUGUGAUGAGAGAAUGAUCUAUUGGUUCUGUACACUUUCUUUUAGCCCUCAAGGUAUAAGAACCACGACCACACAACCUAUUUGUCUUUUAAUUUAUUGAAACAUGAAUUGAUUAGAGUAAUAUGAGCUUGAUCUAGUCACCAAGCCAUGUAUAAGCCAAGGAGAUCAGAUGCCCCCCCUAACUUUCCCAUAACGCUUAGAUAAACACACAUAAAUGGUCUUAUUAACAACGAAUUGUUUACAUAUUAGAGACUAUCUAACCAAAAUUUAGUUUGAUCACAAUAUG
Nymphaea colorata (pocket water lily) is the source of this 818-nucleotide long non-coding RNA. RefSeq lists it as uncharacterized. The transcript is spliced from 4 exons. The record is from RefSeq and is a predicted model, not a curated record. NCBI's taxonomy places the organism in Eukaryota, Viridiplantae, Streptophyta, Magnoliopsida, Nymphaeales, Nymphaeaceae.